AAACCAAACAAACUAGAUAGAGACAAUGAUAUAGAGAAUGUAAAU
RNAcentral lists this non-coding RNA (45 nucleotides) under Trypanosoma brucei brucei. Lineage: Eukaryota; Euglenozoa; Kinetoplastea; Trypanosomatida; Trypanosomatidae. The record is from RNAcentral.